UAGUUGGUAGGGUAAAGGCCUACCAAGGCGACGAUCAGUAGCCGGCCUGAGAGGGUGAACGGCCACACUGGAACUGAGACACGGUCCAGACUCCUACGGGAGGCAGCAGUGGGGAAUAUUGCACAAUGGGGGAAACCCUGAUGCAGCGACGCCGCGUGAGUGAAGAAGGUCUUCGGAUCGUAAAACUCUGUCCUUGGUGAAGAUAAUGACGGUAGCCAAGGAGGAAGCCCCGGCUAACUACGUGCCAGCAGCCGCGGUAAUACGUAGGGGGCUAGCGUUGUCCGGAUUUACUGGGCGUAAAGGGUGAGUAGGCGGUUGCAUAAGUCAGAUGUAAAAGGCUAAGGCUUAACCAUAGUAUGCAUUUGAAACUGUGUGACUUGAGAACAGGAGAGGUAAGUGGAAUUCCUAGUGUAGCGGUGAAAUGCGUAGAUAUUAGGAGGAACACCAGUGGCGAAGGCGACUUACUGGACUGUAACUGACGCUGAGUCACGAAAGCGUGGGUAGCAAACAGGAUUAGAUACCCUGGUAGUCCACGCUGUAAACGAUGAGUGCUAGGUGUUGGGUAGCGAUACUCAGUGCCGAAGUAAACACAAUAAGCA
RNAcentral lists this ribosomal RNA (599 nucleotides) under uncultured Bacillota bacterium. RNAcentral describes it as "bacterial SSU rRNA". It matches the Rfam family "Bacterial small subunit ribosomal RNA", at positions 246 to 866 of the family's 1533-position model. The record is from RNAcentral. Lineage: Bacteria; Bacillati; Bacillota.